GAUGAACGCUAGCGGGAGGCUUAAUACAUGCAAGUCGAGGGGUAACAGGGGCUUCGGCCCGCUGACGACCGGCGCACGGGUGAGUAACGCGUACGCAACUUACCUCCAAGCGAGGGAUAGCUCUGGGAAACUGGGAUUAAUACCUCAUGUGAUUAUGAUGCCGCAUGGUGUUAUAAUUAAAGUUCAGGCGCUUGGAGAUGGGCGUGCGUCCUAUUAGCUAGUUGGUGAGGUAACGGCUCACCAAGGCGACGAUAGGUAGGGGGCGUGAGAGUGUGGCCCCCCACACGGGUACUGAGACACGGACCCGACUCCUACGGGAGGCAGCAGUAAGGAAUAUUGGACAAUGGGCGCAAGCCUGAUCCAGCCAUCCCGCGUGCAGGAUGACAGCCCUACGGGUUGUAAACUGCUUUUGUUAGGGAAGAAACCCCUCGAUUUAUCGGGGGCUGACGGUACCUUUCGAAUAAGCACCGGCUAACUCCGUG
This 482-nucleotide ribosomal RNA is filed under the name uncultured bacterium. RNAcentral's name for it is "bacterial SSU rRNA". It matches the Rfam family "Bacterial small subunit ribosomal RNA", at positions 28 to 507 of the family's 1533-position model. The record is from RNAcentral.